UAGGGAAUCUUCCGCAAUGGGCGAAAGCCUGACGGAGCAACGCCGCGUGAGUGAUGAAGGUCUUCGGAUCGUAAAACUCUGUUAUUAGGGAAGAACAAAUGUGUAAGUAACUAUGCACGUCUUGACGGUACCUAAUCAGAAAGCCACGGCUAACUACGUGCCAGCAGCCGCGGUAAUACGUAGGUGGCAAGCGUUAUCCGGAAUUAUUGGGCGUAAAGCGCGCGCAGGCGGUUUUUUAAGUCUGGUGUGAAAGCCCACGGCUCAACCGUGGAGGGUCAUUGGAAACUGGAAAACUUGAGUGCAGAAGAGGGAAGUGGAAUUCCAUGUGUAGCGGUGAAAUGCGCAGAGGUAUGGAGGAACACCAGUGGCGAAGGCGACUUUCUGGUCUGUAACUGACGCUGAUGUGCGAAAGCGUGGGGAUCAAACAGG
This 429-nucleotide ribosomal RNA is filed under the name Actinomycetes bacterium. RNAcentral describes it as "Actinobacteria bacterium partial 16S ribosomal RNA". It matches the Rfam family "Bacterial small subunit ribosomal RNA", at positions 355 to 776 of the family's 1533-position model. Lineage: Bacteria; Bacillati; Actinomycetota; Actinomycetes. The record is from RNAcentral.